UGAACGCUGGCGGCGUGCCUAAUACAUGCAAGUCGAGCGAACAGACGAGGAGCUUGCUCCUCUGACGUUAGCGGCGGACGGGUGAGUAACACGUGGAUAACCUACCUAUAAGACUAGGAUAACUUCGGGAAACCGGAGCUAAUACCGGAUAAUAUAUUGAACCGCAUGGUUCAAUAGUGAAAGACGGUUUUGCUGUCACUUAUAGAUGGAUCCGCGCCGCAUUAGCUAGUUGGUAAGGUAACGGCUUACCAAGGCAACGAUGCGUAGCCGACCUGAGAGGGUGAUCGGCCACACUGGAACUGAGACACGGUCCAGACUCCUACGGGAGGCAGCAGUAGGGAAUCUUCCGCAAUGGGCGAAAGCCUGACGGAGCAACGCCGCGUGAGUGAUGAAGGUCUUCGGAUCGUAAAACUCUGUUAUUAGGGAAGAACAAAUGUGUAAGUAACUAUGCACGUCUUGACGGUACCUAAUCAGAAAGCCACGGCUAACUACGUG
Molecule: ribosomal RNA, 495 nt
Filed under: uncultured bacterium
Lineage: Bacteria
Description: partial 16S ribosomal RNA
Rfam family: Bacterial small subunit ribosomal RNA
Source: RNAcentral